Molecule: unclassified non-coding RNA, 722 nt
Filed under: Hevea brasiliensis (rubber tree)
Lineage: Eukaryota; Viridiplantae; Streptophyta; Magnoliopsida; Malpighiales; Euphorbiaceae
Source: RNAcentral
UGACUUGAGGGAUUUUAAGCUAUUGCUUGCACAAAUUCGGGUGAUCGAAGGGAAAUAUGAAGAUGCAUUGAAGGUUUAUCAGGAGUUAGUUAAAGAGGAGCCUAGGGAUUUCAGGCCUUACUUGUGUCAAGGAAUAAUAUACACAUUAAUGAGGAAAACUAAUGAGGCUGAGAAGUGUUUUGAGAAGUAUCGGAGACUUGUACCGCAAGGGCAUCCCUACGCUAGGUAUUUCGAUGAGAACAUGAUUGCAACGAAGGUGUUUGCACAGAGGGCGGAGAAUGAGAGAGCUAGCUCGAAAAGCUGAAUAGAAUAAGGCUUUGGUUCUGCUGAAGUUCAGAUUGGAUGGUAGAGGUAUGAUGGAAAUUAUUUUGCUCUAUUUGUUACUAGCAACAUAUUGUUUGAGCUUAGUAGUUGUCUGGUUUGCAUAGUUUAUUGUUAUAUGAGUUGUCGAGUAGCAAUUAGGUUCGGACAAAAAGAUCUCUCUUUUUUGGUUAGUCAGAGGGCAAUAACGUAAGGCUCUUUAAUUUUCAGCAGGUAUCUGAAUCGAACGACAUGAUAUCAUAGUUCAUUUAAUCAAGAAUGGAAAUGAGAACCAUGCUUUGUGAUUUGUUUGUUUAAUUCUGUUGAAACUUCCGUAAUAUGUUUGAUAUGAGCUGUUCUUUUACAAAAUGAAUGCACUUUGAUAUGUGUUGUGACUUUGAGAUGGAAGAGACAGAGUUACA